Molecule: ribosomal RNA, 492 nt
Filed under: uncultured bacterium
Lineage: Bacteria
Description: partial 16S ribosomal RNA
Rfam family: Bacterial small subunit ribosomal RNA
Source: RNAcentral
AGUGAACGCUGGCGGUAGGCCUAACACAUGCAAGUCGAACGGCAGCACAGUAAGAUCUUGCUCUUACGGGUGGCGAGUGGCGGACGGGUGAGGAAUACAUCGGAAUCUACUUUUUCGGGGGGGAUAACGUAGGGAAACUUACGCUAAUACCGCAUACGACCUACGGGUGAAAGCAGUGGAGCUUCGGACCUUUCGCGAUUGAAUGAGCCGAUGUCGGAUUAGCUAGUUGGGAGGGUAAAGGCCCACCAAGGCGACGAUCCGUAGCUGGCCUGAGAGGAUGAUCAGCCACACUGGAACUGAGACACGGUCCAGACUCCUACGGGAGGCAGCAGUGGGGAAUAUUGGACAAUGGGCGCAAGCCUGAUCCAGCCAUACCGCGUGGGUGAAGAAGGCCUUCGGGUUGUAAAGCCCUUUUGUUGGGAAAGAAAAGCAGCAGGUUAAUACCCCGCUGUUCUGACGGUACCCAAAGAAUAAGCAACGGCUAACUUCGUG